GCCCGGGCUGCUGCUGCGCGCCCGCCUCCACGCGCGCCCGCCGCCUGCGCCUGCCGCCCUCCCUCCGGCUCCUCUCUUUCUCUCCCCCUCUCUCUCCCUCUCCUCUCUCGCUCGCUCUCUUGCUCGCGCUCUCUCCCUCCCUGGAAGAAGGGAAUGAGGCAGGGCUGACGUGAAGGGAUGCAAAACAGCUCCUCCUAACCCAGCUCGCAGAGGAAGAGAGACAGAAAAGCAGCCCUUUUAUCUCUCUUUUGUUUUCUCACUUCCUUCCACCCCCCAACACCCCCUCCUGUCAGCCCAAGUUUUCUUUUUCUCUUUCUACCACAGAGAGGAUUUUUCUUCCUUUCUUUCUCUUUCUCUCGGUUCAACUCUUCUACUCGAAUUCAAAAGCCUGGAGGGUUUUUUCCCCUCUCUCUUUUCUUCCUUCUUUUCUUCCUUCUUCCUCCUUUCUUAUUUCUCUAAAAGGGUUUUGUUUGCUGUGGGAGUUUCGUUUGAAAAUCAAGUCACGCCUUUUUUUCCUUCUUUUCUCUCUCUCUCUUUUCUCUCCUCAGCAGAAAAGGGGAACAAAGAUUAACGAGCGGGGGAGAAGGGAGCGUCAGAACCUCGCAUGGAAAUGGGGGGCCCUGCCCGGCACAAAGGGGCCCAGGGGCCCCGACCCCCCGGGAAGCCUGGGGGUCCCCCCCGAAGGGAGUCAGUGGGGUGGGGGUUAGCUCCUGGGUUCCGGAUCCUUCUGAAGUACGGACUGGGAGCCCCGGGUCGGUGGUCCUCAGCCAGAGGUGGGAGGCUGGGUGUGUUCUUUACUCAUAUAUUUAUAAAGUAGGCAGAUGGGCUUGGAGCAACAUCCCCGCAGAGCUCGGAACAGUGAGAGAGCCUUGAAACAGCUGUUAGCAGAGCCCUGGACGGCCAGGACCGAGGGAGCGGCGCGGGCUGUGAGCGCCAGGCCGGGGCGGGAAGGGGUUCUGAGGAGUCGCAGGGAUGGCCCCUCGCGGGCUCCCCAAUCCCGGGGCCUGGGCCUCGGCCCGGGACGCACUUGCUGGGGGGCGCCGAGGCGUGGCCGUUCGCCGCACGCCGGUCGGGUCCCUGGCUGCUCCCCGCAGGGCCGCGGGGUCCGGCGCAGCUUGGCCUUCUCCCAGCUCUGGGGCAGGCCGGCCACCCGGCCUCCAACCUACAGAACCCGCGCCACUCAGAGCCGCUUCUCGACUCCGACGCAGGGCCGGUCCUGAGCCGGCGGGAGAGAGCCGCCACGAAGGGUCAAUUAUUCAUGGAGCGCCUGGGCGUGCUCCCAAGACCUGCCCUGUCCUCGGCUUCUCCGGAGAAGUGGGGAGAAGACGGGGGAAAAGUUCCCAGAGCAAAGUUGGGCACAUUUCUUAUUUUCCCAAGUAAGUAUUGAGCACCUGCUGGAUGCCUGGCCCUUGGACUGGGGCUGCAACGGGGGCGGGAGGGAGAAACGUGAGGUCCUGAUGGGCCCCCAAGAGUUUCCGCUGGAAACAAUGCGAAGGAGGCUGCCGCUCAGGACCAGGUCACUGGGAAGAAGGAAAGCCUGGAUCCUCUCCCCCCACCCUCCUCUCUUCCUUCCCCUUCCCUUCCUCCCGGCUGCAUCUUCUUGGCUCCACCCCUUCUCCUCAUCAAUUCCUCCCACACUUCCCUGCUCUCCCUGGCUUUUCACUGGAGGGUCCCUUCUCCCAGCGAGGAGCAGAUGCUGAGCCCCAUUGUCUCUCCCCCAAUGACUGCAGUCUCCCAGGGACAGGACCUGCCACUCUUCACCCCUCCCCCAAGCCGGGAGGCCUGGGCCUUUAGAGACUGGAGACCCAAGGCCACUGCCCCUCGCCCCACCCUACACCAGCUCUUGGUGCUGUGAGCAAUGACUCCAGUCACUCAGAACAUGAUUUAUUUCUCACUAGGAGUGAGAAAACAGAAGCCAGAGAGUUUGCUUCAGCAAGAAAGACACCAUGGUUUUGACAUCGGCACAUCGAGCCCCCAGUGACCCCAGAGCCUUCCUGCAUGCCCUGUUAAGAGAGUGCCCAGUACACUCUUUUAAUAGGGCCUGCAGGAAGUCACAUUUCUGUCAUUACCUGCUCCUUAGUACACUCAAACUGUAUCCUUUAAACAAAGCAAAACACAGCUCUGGUAGUCACACAUUCAUUCAACAAAUGCUUGUCAAGUACCUACUCUGCACCAACUAGUGUGCUGGUAGUAAGCACCUAACCAUCAGCAAGAUAGGAUCCUUGCUAUGGCUUUGCAGACAGCAGGGGAAGGAGCAAAAAAAAAAAAAAACAUAAUGUACACAAGGGUAAACCAAAAAAACAUCUAAAGGGGUACCUGACUUAGGGUAUUCCCAGAAGGCUUCCUGGAGGAGGUUACAUCUAGUUAAAUGGACCUGUGUCAGACAGUGCAUGGGAGGAAACAGCCUGUCCCCAGGGCAAGAGAGAAAGAACACUUUUACAGGUUCUUGGAAUUGUUAAUGAGUUCAAGUACUUGCUGCAGCCCAGAGUACUGUGGGGGGUGGGGGUGAGGAUUGGUGUCAGGGCACAAGUGGGGGAGGGGAAGGGGAAAUGUUCAAAUUUUAGCCUUCCCACUUGCUAACUCCAUGAACUUGAGUGACUAUAACAGUGGCUCAGUUUCCGUACCUAUAAAAUAGGGGUAAGAAGACCUGUGGGUUGCAGAGAGGCUUUAUGUUUAAGUGCCCAGGCUUGCUUGCUGAAUAUCCCUGGGCAACUGACCACUCUAUGUCUAAGUUUUCUUGUCUGUAAAAUGGGGAUGAAGAUACAUGGUUCACAGAGUUCGUGAGGCUUAAACAAACCCAUGCCUAAAAUACAGGGUAGCUUCUGUUCACAAUUACUAUAAAUGAGGGAGUGACAGGGAGAUGCCCUUACAACCUGGAUUUGAGAUUAUUGGUUUAAGUCAGAGUGACUCACCAGGCCAGAAACCCGAUGAGCUGGCUGUGGAGGAAGCUUUCUUCAAAAAUGCUCUGUGUCCCAGCAGGUAGCUGGACUGGGGAACACCCGCCUCUGUUUGAGACCUCAAAAACAUGACCAGAAAAAAAAAAUGACCAGAAUGGAUGUAGUUAAGAAGGUCAAACCUUCUUCUUUAGGAAGAAGGUGGGCCUUGUAAAAUCCAGAAGGAGCAGGUACCUGGCUGUGUUUGCUCAGGUGAGAGUAGACAUAGAAGUUGUGCUGGGUUUGUGUGUCAGAGAGGGGAGGGUACUGACUCCACCAGAGCCCAUGUUAAAUCUCUUAAAACUAUUACUUGGGGUCCUGGUUUUCCAAACAACCUGCAGAUGAACUUCACACUAGCAAAAUGCCCCCUGGAUCCAGGCAGACACCAGUGUUCCAGUUCUUGUGUUGUAAACAUUCUACACUUCUAUUAUUUCUUUAUAGCACAAAUUCAUUGUGAAAGAAUUUGAAAAUCAACUAAGCAAAACUGGAAAAGAACCACAUACAGAGACAUUAUGUUUUGGCAUAUAACCUUGGACCUUUUAUAUCCCCAUAUCUACAUGUAAAUGCCCAUAAUAAAACUAUACAUAAUGUUGCUAAACAAAUGAAUAUAUAUGUAAA
This 3551-nucleotide long non-coding RNA is filed under the name Marmota monax (woodchuck). Lineage: Eukaryota; Metazoa; Chordata; Mammalia; Rodentia; Sciuridae. The record is from RNAcentral.